Molecule: ribosomal RNA, 305 nt
Filed under: uncultured bacterium
Lineage: Bacteria
Description: bacterial SSU rRNA
Rfam family: Bacterial small subunit ribosomal RNA
Source: RNAcentral
CCUACGGGGGGCAGCAGUGGGGAAUAUUGCACAAUGGGGGAAACCCUGAUGCAGCGACGCCGCGUGAGUGAAGAAGUAUUUCGGUAUGUAAAGCUCUAUCAGCAGGGAAGAAAAUGACGGUACCUGACUAAGAAGCCCCGGCUAACUACGUGCCAGCAGCCGCGGCAAUACGUAGGGGGCAAGCGUUAUCCGGAUUUACUGGGUGUAAAGGGAGCGUAGACGGCCAUGCAAGUCUGAUGUGAAAACCCGGGGCUCAACACCGGGACUGCAUUGGAAACUGUGCGGCUGGAGUGUCGGAGAGGCAA